This 506-nucleotide ribosomal RNA is filed under the name uncultured bacterium. Its description in RNAcentral is "bacterial SSU rRNA". It matches the Rfam family "Bacterial small subunit ribosomal RNA", at positions 17 to 518 of the family's 1533-position model. The record is from RNAcentral.
UUAUGGCUCAGGAGUGAACGCUGGCGGCGUGCCUAACACAUGCAAGUCGAGCGGGGAAGCCGGAACAUGUAGAGAUAUAUGAGAAAGCAUCCUAGCGGCGGACGGGUGAGUAACACGUGAGGAACCUGCCUUACACAGGGAAGUAACACCGUGAAAACGGUAGCUAAUACCGCAUAACACCGCACUAUGGCAUCAUAGAGCGGUCAAAGGAGAAAUCCGGUGUAAGAUGGCCUCGCGCCCGAUUAGUUAGUUGGUGGGGUAAUGGCCUACCAAGACUGCGAUCGGUAGCCGGACUGAGAGGUCGAACGGCCACAUUGGAACUGAGAGACGGUCCAGACUCCUACGGGAGGCAGCAGUGGGGAAUAUUGGGCAAAUGGGGGAAACCCUGACCCAGCAACGCCGCGUGAAGGAAGAAGGCCUUCGGGUUGUAAACUUCUUUGAUCAGGGAAGAAACAAAUGACGGUACCUGAAAAACAAGCCACGGCUAACUACGUGCCAGCCGCUGC